Molecule: transfer RNA, 103 nt
Filed under: Candidatus Heimdallarchaeota archaeon
Lineage: Archaea; Promethearchaeati; Candidatus Heimdallarchaeota
Description: tRNA-Phe
Rfam family: tRNA
About the family: Transfer RNA (tRNA) molecules are approximately 80 nucleotides in length. Their secondary structure includes four short double-helical elements and three loops (D, anti-codon, and T loops).
Source: RNAcentral
GUCGCGGUAGCUUAGCCUGGAAAACUUCUUUCAGAAGUUUAGGUAAGAGAGCGCAGGACUGAAGAUCCUGUUGUCGGGAGUUCGAAUCCCCCCCGCGACACCA